This 378-nucleotide unclassified non-coding RNA is filed under the name plant metagenome. RNAcentral's name for it is "partial contains 5.8S ribosomal RNA, internal transcribed spacer 2, and large subunit ribosomal RNA". The stretch from base 1 to 105 matches the Rfam family "5.8S ribosomal RNA", at positions 50 to 154 of the family's 154-position model. The record is from RNAcentral.
GAAAUGCGAUAAGUAAUGUGAAUUGCAGAAUUCAGUGAAUCAUCGAAUCUUUGAACGCACCUUGCGCUCCUUGGUAUUCCUUGGAGCAUGCCUGUUUGAGUAUCAUGAAAUCUUCAAAGUAAAUCUUUUGUUAACUCAAUUGGUUUCUACUUUGGUAUUGGAGGUCUUUGCAGCUUCACACCUGCUCCUCUUUGUUCAUUAGCUGGAUCUCAGUGUUAUGCUUGGUUCCACUCGGCGUGAUAAGUUAUCUAUCGCUGAGGACACUGUAAAAGGUGGCCAAGGUAAAUGCAGAUGAACCGCUUCUAACAGUCCAUUGACUUGGACAAUACUUUUAUGAUCUGAUCUCAAAUCAGGUAGGACUACCCGCUGAACCUAAGC